RNAcentral lists this long non-coding RNA (1256 nucleotides) under Pongo abelii (Sumatran orangutan). RNAcentral describes it as "lincRNA". Lineage: Eukaryota; Metazoa; Chordata; Mammalia; Primates; Hominidae. The record is from RNAcentral.
ACCCUUUUGUCCAUGGGGUCACAUUCUCAUCUUCUGGAUACCCAUCACUCUCGGGCAGCCAUUCUAACUGCCUCAUCUGUGUGCAGCAGUCUGGACCUAGAAGCUGUGUCCCCUCUGCUGCCCAGUGGAGUCGAGUGCUUGGCACCCAGCACUCAGACAGGGUGGCCACCAACCUGGCCGAGGGGACUGUCCCCAAGAUGAUCAUAGGACAUCAGGCAGGGCUCCUGAGCCAGCCCCCCGCCAAGCCUGCCUCGCUCCCAGUACCGCCAGAGGAGUAGCUGAGGCCAACCCCUGAAGCAGCCAAGGCGUCCUCUAAGCCCAGAAGUGCCAGGGAUUGGGGGCUGCCCAGCUCCAGACAGGGUCAUCACACUCUGACCCUCAGAGGGGCCCCCCUGCUUCCCAGCUCCAGACAGGGCCGUCACACUCCCAAUCCGCAGAGGGCCCCCCCAAGCUUCCCAGCUCCGGACGGAAGCGGCUGCCCAGCUUCACCGACCUCCAUGCCGCGGCCUGGGGUCUUGCUCCAACGCAAGAGAACACGGGUCUCGUUGAGGGCUCCUCUGCCCCAUGUCUCCUGCUCCUGGACACCCAGGCCUGCCCUCACCACGGCCGCUGGACACUGGGUGGGGGUCCUGGCCACUCUUCUGGAUGGCCAGUCUGAUGUUGCAGGCGCAGCCACUUCACUGUUUGUCCCUCACAGUACGCCAGAGUCCCUCCUCCCUACAAGAGCCACUCCCAGGGCCCAGUCCUCCCCCGAGAGGUGCUGAUGAGAGUGGAGUAUGGAACCACCUGCCAGCCAACCCCAGGUGGCCUCUCGGGGGUGCCCUGCCCCACCGGGCCAUGCAUGGUGUGGCCCUCCCCGGUGCUGUCACGUCUGAGUGUGGCCCUGCAGACUUGCCCCCACUAGGCUGGAGCACAUCCCCCGGGACCUGAUCCCAGGAGCUCCGGGAGCAGCUCGCACACAGCUCCAUGGAUGCCCCCCACAGCGAGAGAGACAGGAAAGGCCAGCUCCGAGUCCCACACCUCACUCUUCAAGCUGGGAAAAUGAUGCUGUUACCUUGGGAGGUGAGACCCUCCAGAUGGGAACCUGGACGCUGGGAGCUGGUGUGUUCCCGGAAUUCGGGGGAAUAUUUCAUUCCCUGCGCAUAGUGUCUAGACUUUCAUAUCCCUCCUCCCAGGCACCCAGGCAUCACUUCACAACCCCAUGCUCAGCAAGCUCCAGAGAAAACUCCUCAAUAAACUAUGAGUGUUAAUACCCG